Molecule: long non-coding RNA, 1723 nt
Organism: Mauremys mutica (yellowpond turtle)
Lineage: Eukaryota; Metazoa; Chordata; Testudines; Geoemydidae
Exons: 4
Source: RefSeq, a predicted model, not a curated record
CCUGGUCUGAGGGAAGAAUCGGGGUUAUGUAGUGAAUGAAGAAGGGUACUGCAAAAAGAAAAAAUGGUCUCAUGGUUCAGGCAGUUGAAUGCUGCCCUGGAGAACUGGAUUCUAUCUCUGCCGCUGCAACAGAGUUUCUAUGGGAUGCUGAGUCAAAGAAAUGAGUCAUCCUCUCAUCCUACGGAUUCCUCAAGAACAGAGUUAAAAACAUUGGCGAGGCAAAGAAAUGUACAUGAUGUAUCAACCCCGCACAGGGCCAACAGGGACUGAACAAGCAUUGUGGGCCCAGGAGAUCACGCCCCUCACUUCUGCUGCGUAUGGUCCAGGUAGAGGGGACAGAUAAAAGGAGGCAGCUCAGCUCAGUCAGUGUUGGUGGAAGAAGAGGAAGGAUGUGUGCUGCAGGCACCUGCAGAGGAACCAUUGACUCUCCAUGGGUCUGGGCUAUGCUGUGGAUGACCAGCUGACUGCAGAGACACCGAGGUGCUGCCAGCUGAGGAGAUAAAUGUACCAGUCUUUAAGGAAGAGGAGAAGUUUAACAAAAAACAUGAAUUAUCUGAAUCUUCAGCAGAGGAUAAUACCCUAUUUAGAUGUUCAAGAGCACAAAUUAUAGUUCAUAAAAGUUAUACACCCAUGCCAGUGGGGUACUCGUUGAUAUUCCUGGGAGAAAUGAUCAUCUAAGUGCAUAAAUUCAUUCUGUCUUACCCAGAACAGCUGAUCAACAUCAUCUCCAAUGCUUCUGCAGAAAAUUCAGAACAUCCAGAGAGAUUUAAUCGCACCAAACUAGAAUUCUGAGCGAUGCUUCUGUAAAGACCACAGAUGGAGAGUCAGAAUGCUUUCACAUCUCUCCAGAAAGUAUAAGAAAAGGACCCAGCACCUCAGUUAGAGCCAGACCAGGGAAGGAGCAAGACGUCUGUCCCAGGGAGCCAAACAGCUAGCAGAGCCCACAACUGGCUGUGGCAAGUGAUGAACCUCCAGAGCCAGCUUGGAGGGAAGGCAAACUGCUACCCCGGAAGACGGAGAAACCCAACUAGGGAGUGGAAAGUGGACUGUCUGACAAGGAGAGGGGGAACCAAGCCCCGGUGGCCAUGGAGCAGCUCCACCAGAUGCUGGUAGGAAAUAGCCCAAGGAAAAGAGACAUGGACCCCCACGUUCUCCUGGCAACCCCACAAUGGAAUCACCUGUCAUUUCUAGUGCCCUGGGCUGGGACCUGGUGGAGCAGGGUGGGUCCGGGUUCCCCUGUCCCCAAUCCCCUGCUUUGGGCUGGAUGAAUGCUAACCCUUAGGUCAGAAGGCCAGAGCCACUGACUGUUGACUUGCUCGGCUCUCAUUCAGGAGGCCUAAGCGGCUACUUGCUCAGCCGCAAGCUAGAAUGCCUGAUAGACUAACCAGGCAUGAGCGCUGAUUCCCUGAUGCCACCAGAGGGGGUGCCCACUCACCUAAUGAUAUCAUCUGAAAGCACUAGUCCUUCCAAGCUGAGGUUCUGUAGUUGAUCACAACGACAAAGAAUAGUAUGGAGAUCUGCAACAUUUAUUGUGCAGUUGGACAUGUCCAUACGUUGCACUCUAAGAGGUCUAAAGAGGGGAAAGGAGAAAGGCAGACAAUACAAAAUGGAUUUUAAACACUUUUCUAAAAUUGAGGUAGUAUGCUGCAUUUGUAUACCACAAAUAAAUGCGUAACUAGCAGAAAAUGUAUAUGCUUUAAUGCAUGUCUGAUCCAUCAAUAUU